RNAcentral lists this ribosomal RNA (254 nucleotides) under uncultured bacterium. RNAcentral describes it as "partial 16S ribosomal RNA". It matches the Rfam family "Bacterial small subunit ribosomal RNA", at positions 524 to 776 of the family's 1533-position model. The record is from RNAcentral.
UACAGAGGGUGCGAGCGUUGUCCGGAAUCACUGGGCGUAAAGGGCGCGUAGGUGGUGGCUUAAGCGUGCGGUGAAAGCUCGGGGCUCAACCCCGAGUCGGCCGUGCGAACUGGGCUCACUGGAGCAUAGUAGAGGCAGGUGGAAUUCCGGGUGUAGCGGUGGAAUGCGUAGAGAUCCGGAAGAACACCAGUGGCGAAGGCGGCCCGCUGGGCAGUGGCUGACGCUGAGGCGCGACAGCGUGGGGAGCAAACAGG